This 448-nucleotide ribosomal RNA is filed under the name uncultured bacterium. RNAcentral's name for it is "partial 16S ribosomal RNA". It matches the Rfam family "Bacterial small subunit ribosomal RNA", at positions 330 to 793 of the family's 1533-position model. The record is from RNAcentral.
ACCAGACUCCUACGGGAGGCAGCAGUGGGGAAUAUUGCACAAUGGGGGAAACCCUGAUGCAGCAACGCCGCGUGAAGGAAGACGGUUUUCGGAUUGUAAACUUCUGUUCUUAGUGAAGAAGAAUGACGGUAGCUAAGGAGCAAGCCACGGCUAACUACGUGCCAGCAGCCGCGGUAAUACGUAGGGGGCAAGCGUUAUCCGGAUUUACUGGGUGUAAAGGGAGCGUAGACGGCUGUGCAAGCCAGAUGUGAAAGCGCGGGGCUCAACCCCGGGACUGCAUUUGGAACUGUGUGGCUGGAGUGUCGGAGAGGCAGGCGGAAUUCCUAGUGUAGCGGUGAAAUGCGUAGAUAUCAGGAGGAACACCGGUGGCGAAGGCGGCCUGCUGGACUGCAACUGACGUUGAGGCCCGAAAGCGUGGGGAGCAAACAGGAUUAGAUACCCUGGUAAG